Molecule: transfer RNA, 74 nt
Filed under: Bacteroidota bacterium
Lineage: Bacteria; Pseudomonadati; Bacteroidota
Description: Bacteroidetes bacterium (groundwater metagenome) tRNA-Ala
Rfam family: tRNA
About the family: Transfer RNA (tRNA) molecules are approximately 80 nucleotides in length.
Source: RNAcentral
GGGGCAUUAGCUCAGCUGGCUAGAGCGUUUGCAUGGCAUGCAAGAGGUCAUCGGUUCAAAUCCGAUAUGCUCCA